This 658-nucleotide ribosomal RNA is filed under the name uncultured bacterium. Its description in RNAcentral is "bacterial SSU rRNA". It matches the Rfam family "Bacterial small subunit ribosomal RNA", at positions 61 to 756 of the family's 1533-position model. The record is from RNAcentral.
GUUGUAACGAAGUAGCAGUACUUAGUGGCAGACGGGUGAGUAACAUGUAGGUAUCUGCCCUUUGGCCGUGGUAAUAACACGAGGAAACUUGUGCUAAUACCGGAUAAGUCUUUACGGAGAAAGCUUUAUGCACCAUUGGAUGAGCCUGCACUUGAUUAGUUUGUUGGUGGGGUAAUGGCCUACCAAGACUGUGAUCAAUAGCUGAUUUGAGAGGAUGAUCAGCCACAUUGGGACUGAGACACGGCCCAAACUCCUACGGGAGGCAGCAGUGGGGAAUCUUGCACAAUGGAGGAAACUCCGAUGCAGCGAUGCCGCGUGAGUGAAGAAGGCCCUUGGGUUGUAAAGCUCUUUCGUCGGGGAAGAAAAUGACUGUACCCGAAUAAGAAGGUCCGGCUAACUUCGUGCCAGCAGCCGCGGUAAUACGAAGGGACCUAGCGUAGUUCGGAAUUACUGGGCUUAAAGAGUUCGUACGUGGUUGAAAAAGUUAGUGGUGAAAUCCCAGAGCUUAACUCUGGAACUGCCAUUAAAAACUUUUCAGCUAGAGUAUGAUAAGAGGAAAGCAGAAUUUCUAGUGUAGAGGUGAAAUUCGUAGAUAUUAGAACAGAAUACCAAUUGCGAAGGCAGCUUUCUGGAAUCAUUUACUGACACUGAGGAACGA